This 270-nucleotide unclassified non-coding RNA is filed under the name uncultured fungus. Its description in RNAcentral is "partial contains small subunit ribosomal RNA, internal transcribed spacer 1, and 5.8S ribosomal RNA". The stretch from base 1 to 73 matches the Rfam family "Eukaryotic small subunit ribosomal RNA", at positions 1759 to 1831 of the family's 1831-position model. The record is from RNAcentral. Lineage: Eukaryota; Fungi.
UCAAACUUGGUCAUUUAGAGGAAGUAAAAGUCGUAACAAGGUUUCCGUAGGUGAACCUGCGGAAGGAUCAUUAAACAAUUAGGCCGUAACAAGCCUUGAACCCUUCUCUACGCGCACCUUUACCUUCUCCUUCGGCGGGUCAGCGCCCGCCGUCGGAACUGACAAACCCCCCUUUUUGCAUCUAGCAUACCACCUGUUCCGAUACAAAAUACAAUCGUUACAACUUUCAACAAUGGAUCUCUUGGCUCUGGCAUCGAUGAAGAACGCAGC